Long non-coding RNA from Eucalyptus grandis, 3492 nucleotides. RefSeq lists it as uncharacterized. NCBI's taxonomy places the organism in Eukaryota, Viridiplantae, Streptophyta, Magnoliopsida, Myrtales, Myrtaceae. The transcript has 3 exons. The record is from RefSeq and is a predicted model, not a curated record.
CUACAAUUGCGCGGGAACUUGAAGGAUGCGUCGUUGGAUUUGUUCGAGAGACGCUGAAUCGGUGUUUCUUCGUAAGUUUAGUCUGUGGAUGCUUCGUAGUGAAUUCACAGGUUAUCGACGUUACACGCUGCAAAAUCAGCGAUAAUCUCUGGAAGGUGUGGCUUUUCUUUCUUUGUUUCCAUUGGUGGCAAUUUAUUGAAAGAAGUAGGUGAAGUCUAGGUUCCAAGGAAAAACAAGCGAGGGAGGGUGAAAUAAUGGGAUGUAGGGUGUACAUGGGUUGGUUCAAUCCCCUUUUCAGGUGAAAAACUGAGCCAAUCCGGGUGCUUUUGAGUUGUCUAGAGAAAAUUUGGAUGUGUAGUAUGUACUUAUCAUACGGAUGUGCAGCAGGUGAUCGGUUUGCAAGGAGAAUUGAAUUCUGAGAAACUUCGAUCACUGGGAUAGGGGGCUCUGUCUCAAUAUUUUAUGAGGCGCUUGAAAGAGGCAAAACCAUAGGGGAUGAAGAAGAUGCAGUGAGAUGGCCACCGGGAAAGGUUGCUUGACAGUCGAGUCCUUUAACCACUUCUUGAAAACCAAAUUUACUUGGGAGUGUGAGAGUAAUAUGAACAUCGGUUGUGCCAAUGGAUAACUGGUUAGGUAGUUAUUUUCUUUCACCUUGUAGACUGUGGAUGUGAAAAAGAAAUAAUCACCAGAACAUGGAGUUUACAUAAGCUAUUCAGUAGAAUAGAGACAAAAGCACAAGUAGCUGAUUGUCGAUUCCGAAUUCUGAGGCCUUCGCAACUGUUUAGGAUUCUCUUUUUAUUCUUAUGUUUCUGUAACUUUUAUGAAGGAAAAUGACCGAGAAGCUAAAACUCCUGGAUGCUUCUUGAAUGUAUUAGUGAAACUUGAUUAAUGUAGUUUCUCAAAUUAGUUGUUGUUUUUGUUUUAUUGUUAUCAGAGCCAUAUCAGUUUGAGUGUUAGGUGGGAUUUGCAUCUGAAUUACAGGAUGAGUAUGUAUUCAUAAUCAUUACUUGGAAGUUUGGGACCAAUAUAUAACACAGGACUUGCAAAAUCUUGAUCUUAUAGCUAUGAGAUAUGGAUCAUUCCAUUAGUAGCUGAAUGUUGAUACUGAAAUAUUUCUACUGCUGGCGACUUGAUGUUCAUUUUCCCUUGAAUUGCCUGUAUGCAAGUAUGAGAGAAAUUCUGACUCUUAUAACCAUAUUUUUUUUUCCUCCUAACAAGUAACAAGACAUUGCAUUUUUAAUAUAAGGCAAAGCUUGCUUUGGACAGCCUCGAAGUUCCAGUUGGGUAAGGAACUAAUUUUCAAUAACCAGGUGCAUUUCAGAUAUGUUACUUUAUUUUCAGUCUUAAUUUGUAAGUGAUGUCACAUUGUACAUUAUUUAUUUUAUACCUUGAUUGAACAGCUGUGAUUGGUGAGAAACGGUGCCUUAUUGCAGCAGGAAGAAACAGGACUAAUGAGAAAGGGAAUGCAACAAGGUGUGUAGAAAUGGAAGCUCUUGAUGUUCUUCUUGAACAGUGGCAGAGGACUGGAUUUUUGUCUGCAGAAGGUACAGAGAAGUAUUCAGCACGCUCCCUUUAUGUGACGUGAACUAUGCAUAAUGUGUGUAGCAGCAUCAUCAAUCAUUGGUAUAAAGGAAGUAUAUUAUGACUGUGCAAAUGAUAAAUGUGGAGGCUGCAGCUCAAUACUGUUGUUGCAUCAAGUAGCUCUAAGGAAUGAAUUAGGUCAGUUUCUGAACUUGCUUUUAUUGUUAUCGUAUCUGCUUAGCUCCACUUUGAAAUUGUGACAUAUUACAAUUGACAACUAAAGCUUACUGGAGGUUUAUGAAUCUUAUUUUGAUUACUAUUGAUGUAGUUUCGUAGUACUUCCGUUUGUUGUUGUACAUUGAAUAUUGCGACACAUAACCGUGAAAAAUGGAACUAAUUUUCCACCUUUUCUGUCCUCUUCCAUGUCUAAAUUGUAGAAAGUAGAGUUUAGGAAGUGUCAUGAAGUCAAGUUUAUAUUAUUUCUUUCUUUCCCCUCUCUGUUUCCUUUUUUAAAAAAUUCUAUGUGACUUGUUAGACAUUUCCUUUCUUUUUUUGCCAUAAAAAAUUUACUGUUCUGGGAAGUACUACAAGUUACUGUAACAUGGGUUUGUUCUUUCCUCUUCCUUUUUCCAGCUGUCUCUUAAUCUCUUCUUCCUUGCCUUUUUCCACUGCGGUAAGAUUCUUUGAUGUCUGCAAUGUUAUCAAGUUUAAAGUGGGAAAUAUAGCAUCUUCAAAGAAAUAUGAUUUAAGUAUAAGGAAAUUUAUGCUUUCUGAUAUGUCAUGGGCAGUGUUCUCGAUAAAGAAAUCUCUUUCCUUGUUUAUUAGUUCCAAUUGUCUCUUCUUGCAUACAUGAAGGCGUGUGCUUACUAAAUUGGGUGUAUGACAUGUUUUUCCAGUAUGAUUUUUCAUCUCUCGGAUGCUACCAUGAUCUAACAUGUCAUGUUUCCUGAGAUUGUCCAGAAGUCACCAAUUAUUUUAACUCAGAUUUUGUCGACUUAAAAGUUUAAAACAUAGUGAAAUAGGAUCUGUUUCAUUGUAAUUAGAGCAGUACUUAAAGUAGCUAAUAUAGAUUGCGGACAAUGUCUUUUUGUUGAAUUAUUAGUUUUGAAAGAAGAAGCUCAAGUACAGGGAAAUGAGGGAAGGGUUGUGGAGAAGCAAAAGUAUGAAUAAAAAAUUUUAUUGGGGAAAAUAAGCCAGGAAACUCUGAAUUUUAGAGCUAGAAAUUGAUAGUUAUGCUGCUCUUAAUAAUCUGAUUAUCAGGAAGAAGCAAGAGUAUGAGUGAAAAAUUUUAGGGGAAAAAAAUAAGCCAUGAGAACUUGACUUUUAGAGCUAGAGAUUGAUACUUAUGCUGCUCUUAAGAAUCUGAUUAGAAGUCAAAAGUAUUGUAGGAAACAUGAGCUAGCUCAUUGCCUUUCUGAAUACAGCAUCAAGCAAGAGGACGCAUCUUGCAGAUAAAGCACCACCUUGCUCAAAUUCCACCGUGCAUAGCUCAAAAACUAGCCUUAAUUGCUGCAUAGUUUCAUGUUAGAGAGAAUAAGACUAUUGUUAUAACAGUGAGCAUGGGUCAUAUGCAAUGUUUGGAAGAUGUAGCUGAUUGAAACCCAUGCUAGCCAUUAUUAGUAGACAAGUCAUUUGUAAAUCUUCUCUCAAAUCAGAUUCCCAGUGCCAAUAUCUCUCUGAAGAGAACUUGCCUAUCCAUGCUAAAAGCCUUGAAGUAAUCCCCUGUUUACAGCUACUGUUUGUUCUCCAAGGAUGUUAGGUUUAAGCUAUAGCUCCCCCAAACACGCCUCUUUUAAAUAUGAUGCAAUAAGUUUGCCAAGGUGUAGAGCCUAGUUACUGUCAAUGGAAGUAAAUGGUACACUUCAAAGACAAUUUACUUGCCUGAAAACUUGUUUUCUGGAGUACAGACAUUUGUUAAAAUUGAUAUUCUUAAAACCUAAAUGUAAUUUUCCUAAGUUGACCAUUUUCCUU